AUUCUAAGCUAAUUUAGUUGGUAUAAUGUGGUCCCUCAAGGGUAGUUUCAGGUGCAUUCACUUGGCCUCUAUGAAGGAUGAACAUUUCCUAUGAGUUUUCCACUUGUGUUUUAUCCUUGCCUUUGCUUCAGUUUCCUGUGAGACAAAUUGGAGUUUGACAUCCCUCCUCAAGAUGCCUCCUCCAAGACCAGAGCUCCCUGUGGCUGAGCUGUGUGUGCACAGAGCACCUUUCUCUCUCCUUGGGAAGCCCUUUGAAUGUAGAAACUCUGCAUUCCUCACUCCUGUGCCCUCCGUCUCCCCAGUGGCUAGGACUUAACACCAAAGGGUGCUCAGGAAACAAAUGGAAGCAGGGCACUAACCAACUCCAGGAGGACUGGGAGCAUGUUUCCUGCUGAAUCCCUGCCAUCUUGACCACUGCCUGGCAAGAGAAGACACUCUACCAACAUUUUUUUAGUGCUGAAUCCCUUGGAGGGUGUGAGGCAAGGCCACCUGAGACACAGUCGGUGCUAGGUUCCUGGAGGCAGAGCUGAGGGGA
RNAcentral lists this non-coding RNA (535 nucleotides) under Pongo abelii (Sumatran orangutan). The record is from RNAcentral. Lineage: Eukaryota; Metazoa; Chordata; Mammalia; Primates; Hominidae.